RNAcentral lists this ribosomal RNA (254 nucleotides) under uncultured bacterium. RNAcentral's name for it is "partial 16S ribosomal RNA". It matches the Rfam family "Bacterial small subunit ribosomal RNA", at positions 524 to 776 of the family's 1533-position model. The record is from RNAcentral.
UACGUAGGGUCCAAGCGUUAUCCGGAAUUACUGGGCGUAAAGAGUUGCGUAGGUGGCAAGUUAAGCGAAUAGUGAAAUGACGGGGCUCAACCCCGUGCCCAUUAUUUGAACUGGCUAGCUAGAGAAUGAGAGAGGUACCUGGAAUUCCCAGUGUAGGAGUGAAAUCCGUAGAUAUUGGGAGGAACACCGAUGGCGUAGGCAGGGUACUGGCUUAUUUCUGACACUAAGGCACGAAAGCGUGGGGAGCAAACGGG